UACGCGCUGGCCAACGUGCAGCAGGU
This 26-nucleotide non-coding RNA is filed under the name Homo sapiens (human). The record is from RNAcentral. Lineage: Eukaryota; Metazoa; Chordata; Mammalia; Primates; Hominidae.